UCCUCUGCUUUUAUGUAAGCCGCGUGUGCUUCUCCCGAGCAGCCCGUAACCAGUCCGCUGUGCGAGCAGCCCGAGGUUGGGGACCCCCUGGGUUUUGCCUGCUCAUCAGUGACCUGAGAGCUGGACGUCUUUGCUGGUGUUUUCUCUCAUUCACUCCACCUUUAUCAAACACCCGUGCCAGCCAGCACGCACACCGAGCUCCGACGGUAGGCAAGGACGGAUAAAUCCCGCUCACAGAGCUGACAUCCUAGAGGAGGGGACAGGCAGCAAUAUGUGGUGGAAAUGCAGUGUUUCUCAGAAGGGGGCGGGGCAGUAGUGAAUGAUGCAUAAGCAACUCUAAUGAGAAAACCACGUCUGAUGAGAAGGUAGUCAGGAGGGAGCCGUGGACGAUCCGGGCAGGCUGGCCGCUGGGAGGGAAGCCCAGAGGUGCAGCCUCUGCUCCUGCUGGAGAAGGGUCUGCCUGGGAAGGAUGCUGGCCCACAGGAAAGCAGAGGUGAGGCACAGAGAGCAACUCCUGAAGACGUGGUUUGUGCGUUGAGGU
Molecule: long non-coding RNA, 541 nt
Organism: Mustela erminea (ermine)
Lineage: Eukaryota; Metazoa; Chordata; Mammalia; Carnivora; Mustelidae
Exons: 4
Source: RefSeq, a predicted model, not a curated record